AGUGAACGCUGGCGGUAGGCCUAACACAUGCAAGUCGAACGGCAGCACAGUAAGAGCUUGCUCUUACGGGUGGCGAGUGGCGGACGGGUGAGGAAUACAUCGGAAUCUACUUUUUCGUGGGGGAUAACGUAGGGAAACUUACGCUAAUACCGCAUACGACCUACGGGUGAAAGCAGGGGAUCUUCGGACCUUGCGCGAUUGAAUGAGCGGAUGUCGGAUUAGCUGGUUGGCGGGGUAAAGGCCCACCAAGGCGACGAUCCGUAGCUGGUCUGAGAGGAUGGUCAGCCACACUGGAACUGAGACACGGUCCAGACUCCUACGGGAGGCAGCAGUGGGGAAUAUUGGACAAUGGGCGCAAGCCUGAUCCAGCCAUACCGCGUGGGUGAAGAAGGCCUUCGGGUUGUAAAGCCCUUUUGUUGGGAAAGAACAGCAGCAGGUUAAUACCCCGCUGUUCUGACGGUACCCAAAGAAUAAGCACCGGCUAACUUCGUG
Molecule: ribosomal RNA, 492 nt
Filed under: uncultured bacterium
Lineage: Bacteria
Description: partial 16S ribosomal RNA
Rfam family: Bacterial small subunit ribosomal RNA
Source: RNAcentral